GACGAACGCUGGCGGCGUGCUUAACACAUGCAAGUCGAACGGUGAAGCGCCUUCCUUUUUGGUGGGUGUGGAUGAGUGGCGAACGGGUGAGUAACACGUGAGUAACCUGCCCCCUUCUUCUGGAUAACCGCAUGAAAGUGUGGCUAAUACGGGAUAUUCUGGGUCUGUCGCAUGAUGGGUCUGGGAAAGAUAUUGUUUCGGUGGGGGAUGGGCUCGCGGCCUAUCAGCUUGUUGGUGGGGUGAUGGCCUACCAAGGCGGUGACGGGUAGCCGGCCUGAGAGGGUGGACGGUCACACUGGGACUGAGACACGGCCCAGACUCCUACGGGAGGCAGCAGUGGGGAAUAUUGCACAAUGGGCGCAAGCCUGAUGCAGCGACGCCGCGUGAGGGAUGGAGGCCUUCGGGUUGUGAACCUCUUUCGCCAGUGAAGCAGGCCUGCCCCGUUUGUGGGUGGGUUGACGGUAGCUGGAUAAGAAGCGCCGGCUAACUACAUG
RNAcentral lists this ribosomal RNA (494 nucleotides) under uncultured bacterium. RNAcentral describes it as "partial 16S ribosomal RNA". It matches the Rfam family "Bacterial small subunit ribosomal RNA", at positions 28 to 507 of the family's 1533-position model. The record is from RNAcentral.